CCCUUAGAUGUUCUGGGCCGCACGCGCGCUACACUGACGGAGGCAGCGAGCGUGUCCUUCGCCGGCAGGUGCGGGCAAUCUUGCGAGUCUCCGUCGUGCUGGGGAUAGAUGGUUGCAAUUGUCGAUCUUGAACGAGGAAUUCCUAGUAAGCGCGAGUCAUCAGCUCGCGCUGAUUACGUCCCUGCCCUUUGUACACACCGCCCGUCGCUACUACAGAGUGCUCGUGUCCAAGAAACGGUCGGACCUGUGCGGCCUCUCCGGGCGACCGGAGGGCCGUUACGGGGAAGACCCUUUAUUUGACGCGGGUCGAUGAAGUAAAAGUCGUAACA
RNAcentral lists this ribosomal RNA (329 nucleotides) under uncultured eukaryote. Its description in RNAcentral is "partial 18S ribosomal RNA". It matches the Rfam family "Eukaryotic small subunit ribosomal RNA", at positions 1470 to 1796 of the family's 1831-position model. The record is from RNAcentral.